ACGAACGCUGGCGGCGUGCUUAACACAUGCAAGUCGAACGAAGAGCGACGGAAGCUUGCUUCUAUCAAUCUUAGUGGCGAACGGGUGAGUAACGCGUAAUCAACCUGCCCUUCAGAGGGGGACAACAGUUGGAAACGACUGCUAAUACCGCAUACGAUCUAACCUCGGCAUCGAGGAUAGAUGAAAGGUGGCCUCUACAUGUAAGCUAUCACUGAAGGAGGGGAUUGCGUCUGAUUAGCUAGUUGGAGGGGUAACGGCCCACCAAGGCGAUGAUCAGUAGCCGGUCUGAGAGGAUGAACGGCCACAUUGGGACUGAGACACGGCCCAGACUCCUACGGGAGGCAGCAGUGGGGAAUCUUCCGCAAUAGACGAAAGUCUGACGGAGCAACGCCGCGUGAGUGAUGACGGCCUUCGGGUUGUAAAGCUCUGUUAAUCGGGACGAAAGGCCUUCUUGCGAAUAGUGAGAAGGAUUGACGGUACCGGAAUAGAAAGCCACGGCUAACUACGUG
This 509-nucleotide ribosomal RNA is filed under the name uncultured bacterium. Its description in RNAcentral is "partial 16S ribosomal RNA". It matches the Rfam family "Bacterial small subunit ribosomal RNA", at positions 29 to 507 of the family's 1533-position model. The record is from RNAcentral.